Molecule: long non-coding RNA, 879 nt
Filed under: Physcomitrium patens
Lineage: Eukaryota; Viridiplantae; Streptophyta; Bryopsida; Funariales; Funariaceae
Description: long non-coding RNA (PPAT_LNC013117)
Source: RNAcentral
AAAACAAGCUAAUUAUGUAGCCCACAUAUAAAAAACUUGUCUUAUAAGUUAAAUUACAUGUCUUACAAAUUCAAUACAUUUUAAAGGUCCUAUAAGACAUUCCUACGUAGCUCCUAAUUAAAAGUAUAUAUGAAGGCAAGAGUGAAGCCUUCUUUAUUCUUAUCAAUGCUUUUCUAGUCCUUAGUCUUAUUUCAAGUCUUUUUAGUCUUCUUAUCUUUAGCAUUAGCUAUUAUAGUUUAAUACUAUAUCAUCUUUGAGUGAUUUUUUAGUCUUUUCAAGUAACAAAAGAGUAUAUUGAUAUUUUAGUUUUUUAAGCUUGAUGUCUUUAACAAAUUUCCGAAGACCUCAAUUCUAAGAAUUAAAUAUUAAUUUAUAUAAAGAAAAGGUAGAAAAAUUCUAAAUAUAAUAAGUUUGAUUAUUUUUCUUAAAUUAAUGGAAAAUAGAUAAAUAUAUUUGGGAUUUAUACAUAGUACAGCAAAGAUCAAUAUUAUGACUGAUUUUUUCUUCUUAAUUUUAAAUUUACAUCUUUGUACCAUAUAAGCUAAAUGAACAUAAUUUUUUUAUAGAAAUAGAAUUUGGAUCAAGUAUUUUAUUUAAUUAAAAGAAUAGUAUUGAUGAAUGAGAGAAGUUAAUUUGUGUGCUACUACAUUUAUACUUUAGUUAUUAUUUUGAAGUAUUUUUAUGCCAAUUUUGGCAAAGUAUGUCAUGAUUUUUUUUUCUAAUAAUUCAAAAAUGUGAUGAAGGAUCAAAGUUCAAUUUACUAAUUUAACCAUAGAAGAAAUAAAUUUUGAUUUUAUUUCAUUUGAUUUUUAUUUUGAUUUUAUUGGUUUUUUUUUAAAAAAUAACUUUAAUAAUUUUUAAAAAACUUGCCACUUGAUU